UAGGGUUCGAUUCUGGCUCAGGAUGAACGCUGGCGGCGUGCUUAACACAUGCAAGUCGAACGGGGUUAAUGAGGACAAAAGUAUUCGUACCGAUGUAAUUAUUAACUUAGUGGCGGACGGGUGAGUAACACGUGAGUAAUCUACCUCAAGCAGGGGAAUAACAGCGGGAAACCGUUGCUAAUACCACAUAGAGUGUCGAAUAGGCAUCUAUACGACAUAAAAGGAGAGAUCCGGCCUGAGAUGAGCUCGCGUCCGAUUAGGUAGUUGGUGAGAUAAGAGCCCACCAAGCCUGCGAUCGGUAGCCGGACUGAGAGGUUGCUCGGCCACAUUGGGACUGAGACACGGCCCAGACUCCUACGGGAGGCAGCAGUGGGGAAUCUUGGGCAAUGGGGGGAACCCUGACCCAGCGACGCCGCGUGAAGGAUGAAGGCCUUCGGGUUGUAAACUUUUUUGGAUGGGGACGAAGCAGUGACGGUACCCAUCGAACAAGCCACGGCUAACUACGUGCCAGCAGCCGCGGUAAUACGUAGGUGGCAAGCGUUAUCCGGAAUUACUGGGUGUAAAGGGCGUGUAGGCGGAUAGAUAAGUCGGAUGUGAAAUCCUGCGGCUCAACUGCAGAUUGUCAUAUGAAACUGUUUAUCUUGAGUGUCAGAGGGGAAAGUGGAAUUCCUAGUGGAGCGGUAAAAUGCGUAGAUAUUAGGAGGAACACCGGUGGCGAAGGCGACUUUCUGGCUGACAACUGACGC
RNAcentral lists this ribosomal RNA (746 nucleotides) under uncultured bacterium. Its description in RNAcentral is "bacterial SSU rRNA". It matches the Rfam family "Bacterial small subunit ribosomal RNA", at positions 1 to 746 of the family's 1533-position model. The record is from RNAcentral.